GGUGUAAUGUGUGAGGCCAUAGCAGAAGUGCUCAUGGUGUGGCCCUGUCAGAGUCCAACAAAUCUGUGAAUUCUGCU
Molecule: ribozyme, 77 nt
Filed under: Crocodylus porosus (Australian saltwater crocodile)
Lineage: Eukaryota; Metazoa; Chordata; Crocodylia; Crocodylidae
Description: Mammalian CPEB3 ribozyme (ENSCPRG00005014570.1)
Rfam family: Mammalian CPEB3 ribozyme
About the family: The mammalian CPEB3 ribozyme is a self cleaving RNA located in the second intron of the CPEB3 gene which belongs to a family of genes regulating messenger RNA polyadenylation. This ribozyme is highly conserved and found only in mammals. There is currently only one other known self cleaving ribozyme in mammals, the CoTC motif.
Source: Rfam by way of RNAcentral